This 723-nucleotide small RNA is filed under the name Pongo abelii (Sumatran orangutan). RNAcentral's name for it is "retained intron". The record is from RNAcentral. Lineage: Eukaryota; Metazoa; Chordata; Mammalia; Primates; Hominidae.
GGAGGAAGUGUCAUGGCGUCGGGCCGUGGAGCUUCUUCUCGCUGGUUCUUUACUCGGGAACAGCUGGAGAAUACGCCGAGCCGCCGCUGCGGAGUGGAGGCGGAUAAAGAGCUCUCGUGUCGCCAGCAGGCGGCCAACCUCAUCCAGGAGAUGGGACAGCGUCUCAAUGUCUCUCAGCUUACAAUAAACACUGCGAUUGUUUAUAUGCACAGGUUUUACAUGCACCAUUCUUUCACCAAAUUCAACAAAAAUGUAAGUACUAGUUGUCUGUUUUCACUGUCCGCAAAUUUUAGGGUAAAUCGAUACGCAGAAAAAAAGUUGGUCAUUGCGUUGUUGGAUUUGGUGUUCUGAAUUAACGGUAAACGUAUAUCACGUGAUAAAUAUUUUGCUUCAAAUGGGGGGUUUUUGUGUUUUUAAAAUUUAUGAUGAAUUAAACUGCAAGGCACUGUUAAGCUCUGCCAGGCCUUUUAAGCUAAAAAAGAAAAACAUUUAUUUCUUUACAGAGUUAUUACAUAGGUUUUCUUCAUUUAAAUUCUAAACUUAACAUUUGAAUAAUUUCAGUAGUGAUGUACAGUGGAAUUGGGCAAGCCUGGUCGUUCUGUGAUACAUCUUAAUUAUGUUGGACUCAUUGUUUAAAAGACUGUCAAUUGAGAUUAAAUUAAUUAUGGCAUUCUUUUGAAAGAGCUAUUUAGUAGAAAUAAUUCAUUUCUUCAUUUGCUAACC